UACGGAGGAUCCGAGCGUUAUCCGGAUUUAUUGGGUUUAAAGGGUGCGUAGGCGGACUAGUAAGUCAGCUGUGAAAGUUAGUGGCUCAACCACUAAAUUGCAGUUGAAACUGUUGGUCUUGAGUAUACAUGAGGUGAGCGGAAUUUGUGGUGUAGCGGUGAAAUGCAUAGAUAUCACAAGGAACUCCAAUUGCGAAGGCAGCUCACUGGGGUAUAACUGACGCUGAGGCACGAAGGUGCGGGUAUCAAACAGG
RNAcentral lists this ribosomal RNA (253 nucleotides) under uncultured bacterium. RNAcentral's name for it is "partial 16S ribosomal RNA". It matches the Rfam family "Bacterial small subunit ribosomal RNA", at positions 524 to 776 of the family's 1533-position model. The record is from RNAcentral.